This 252-nucleotide ribosomal RNA is filed under the name uncultured bacterium. Its description in RNAcentral is "partial 16S ribosomal RNA". It matches the Rfam family "Bacterial small subunit ribosomal RNA", at positions 524 to 776 of the family's 1533-position model. The record is from RNAcentral.
UACGUAGGGUGCGAGCGUUGUCCGGAAUUAUUGGGCGUAAAGGGCUCGUAGGCGGUUUGUCGCGUCGGGAGUGAAACACCGGGCUUAACUCGGUGCUUGCUUUCGAUACGGGCAGACUAGAGGUAUGCAGGGGAGAACGGAAGUUCCUGGUGAGCGGUGAAAUGCGCAGAUAUCAGGAGGAACACCGGUGGCGAAGGCGGUUCUCUGGGCAUUACCUGACGCUGAGGAGCGAAAGUGUGGGGAGCGAACAGG